AGUGAACGCUGGCGGUAGGCCUAACACAUGCAAGUCGAACGGCAGCACAGUAAGAGCUUGCUCUUACGGGUGGCGAGUGGCGGACGGGUGAGGAAUACAUCGGAAUCUACUUUUUCGUGGGGGAUAACGUAGGGAAACUUACGCUAAUACCGCAUACGACCUACGGGUGAAAGCAGGGGAUCUUCGGACCUUGCGCGAUUGAAUGAGCCGAUGUCGGAUUAGCUAGUUGGCGGGGUAAAGGCCCACCAAGGCGACGAUCCGUAGCUGGUCUGAGAGGAUGAUCAGCCAAACUGGAACUGGAACAGGGUCCGGAUCCCUACGGGAGGCAGCGGUGGGAAUAUUGGACAAUGGGCGCAAGCCUGAUCCAGCCAUACCGCGUGGGUGAAGAAGGCCUUCGGGUUGUAAAGCCCUUUUGUUGGGAAAGAAAAGCAGCAGGUUAAUACCCCGCUGUUCUGACGGUACCCAAAGAAUAAGCACCGGCUAACUUCGUG
RNAcentral lists this ribosomal RNA (491 nucleotides) under uncultured bacterium. Its description in RNAcentral is "partial 16S ribosomal RNA". It matches the Rfam family "Bacterial small subunit ribosomal RNA", at positions 29 to 507 of the family's 1533-position model. The record is from RNAcentral.